This 400-nucleotide ribosomal RNA is filed under the name uncultured bacterium. Its description in RNAcentral is "bacterial SSU rRNA". It matches the Rfam family "Bacterial small subunit ribosomal RNA", at positions 356 to 773 of the family's 1533-position model. The record is from RNAcentral.
GGGGAAUAUUGGACAAUGGGGGCAACCCUGAUCCAGCAAUACCGCGUGUGUGAAGAAGGCCUGCGGGUUGUAAAGCACUUUUAGGGGGGAAGAUAAUGACGUUACCCACAGAAAAAGCACCGGCUAACUCCGUGCCAGCAGCCGCGGUAAUACGGAGGGUGCAAGCGUUAAUCGGAAUUACUGGGCGUAAAGCGUGCGUAGGCGGCUCUUUAAGUCGGAUGUGAAAUCCCCGGGCUCAACCUGGGAACUGCAUCCGAUACUGGGGAGCUAGAAUGUGGGAGAGGGAAGUGGAAUUUCCGGUGUAGCGGUGAAAUGCAUAGAGAUCGGAAGGAACAUCAGUGGCGAAGGCGACUUCCUGGACCAACAUUGACGCUGAGGCACGAAAGCGUGGGUAGCAAAC